CCCUUAGAUGUUCUGGGCCGCACGCGCGCUACACUGAUGCAUUCAACGAGCCUAGCCUUGACCGAGAGGUCCGGGUAUCUUUGAAACUGCAUCGUGAUGGGGCUAGAUUAUUGCAAUUAUUAAUCUUCAACGAGGAAUGCCUAGUAAGCGUGAUUCAUCAAAUCGCGUUGAUUACGUCCCUGCCCUUUGUACACACCGCCCGUCGCUACUACCGAUUGAAUGGCUUAGUGAGGCUUCAGGAUUGGCUUAUGGCGGGAGGCGACUCCUGCCUGGAGCCGAGAAUCUAGUCAAACUUGGUCAUUUAGAGGAAGUAAAAGUCGUAACA
RNAcentral lists this ribosomal RNA (325 nucleotides) under uncultured eukaryote. RNAcentral describes it as "partial 18S ribosomal RNA". It matches the Rfam family "Eukaryotic small subunit ribosomal RNA", at positions 1470 to 1796 of the family's 1831-position model. The record is from RNAcentral.